RNAcentral lists this transfer RNA (87 nucleotides) under Paractinoplanes deccanensis. RNAcentral describes it as "Actinoplanes deccanensis tRNA-Pro". The record is from RNAcentral. Lineage: Bacteria; Bacillati; Actinomycetota; Actinomycetes; Micromonosporales; Micromonosporaceae.
UGGCCGGUUGGGGUGUGGCCGGUUGGGGUGCGGCCGGUUCGGGUCCGGCCGGUUCGGGUCCGGUCUGUUCCGGCCCGGUCUGGUCGG